AAUGAACGUUGGCGGCGUGGAUUAGGCAUGCAAGUCGAGCGGGACCCGCAAGGGUUCAGCGGCGAAAGGGAGAGGAACGCGUGGAUACCUACCCCCAGACCUGGGAUAGCCACUAGAAAUGGUGGGUAAUACCAGAUAAUGUCUCCGGACCAAAGGUGUGAUUCCGUCCGGGGAGGGGUCCGCGACCUAUUAGCUAGUUGGCGGGGUAAUGGCCCACCAAGGCAAAGAUGGGUACUGGGUGUGAGAGCACGACCCAGCUCACUGGGACUGAGACACUGCCCAGACACCUACGGGUGGCUGCAGUCGAGAAUCUUCGGCAAUGGACGCAAGUCUGACCGAGCGACGCCGCGUGCGGGAUGAAGGCCUUCGGGUUGUAAACCGCUGUCGGAGGGGAUGAAUGGCCUGAGGGUAAUCUCUCAGGUUUGACAGAUCCUAGGAGGAAGUACGGGCUAAGUUCGUGCCAGCAGCCGCCGUAAAAC
This 479-nucleotide ribosomal RNA is filed under the name uncultured bacterium. RNAcentral's name for it is "bacterial SSU rRNA". It matches the Rfam family "Bacterial small subunit ribosomal RNA", at positions 29 to 526 of the family's 1533-position model. The record is from RNAcentral.